UUCCCUUAGUGUAGCGGUGAAAUGCGUAGAUACUUAGGAGGAAUAACAGUAGCGAAGGCGGCUCUCUGGACUGUACCUGACACUGAGGCACGAAAGCGUGGGGAGCAAACAGGAUUAGAUACCCUGGUAGUCCACGCCGUAAACGAUGAGUACUAGGUGUCGGGGGUUACCCCCCUCGGUGCCGCAGCUAACGCAUUAAGUACUCCGCCUGGGAAGUACGCUCGCAAGAGUGAAACUCAAAGGAAUUGACAGGGGACCCGCACAAGUAGCGGAGCAUGUGGUUUAAUUCGAAGCAACGCGAAGAACCUUACCUAAGCUUGACAUCCCACUGUCCUCUCCCUAAUCGGAGAUUUCCCUUCGGGGCCAGUGGUGACAGGUGGUGCAUGGUUGUCGUCAGCUCGUGUCGUGAGAUGUUGGGUUAAGUCCCGCAACGAGCGCAACCCUUGCCUUUAGUUGCCAGCAUUAAGUUGGGCACUCUAGAGGGACUGCCGAGGAUAACUCGGAGGAAGGUGGGGAUGACGUCAAAUCAUCAUGCCCCUUAUGCUUAGGGCUACACACGUGCUACAAUGGGUGGUACAGAGGGUUGCCAAGCCGCGAGGUGGAGCUAAUCCCUUAAAGCCAUUCUCAGUUCGGAUUGUAGGCUGAAACUCGCCUACAUGAAGCUGGAGUUACUAGUAAUCGCAGAUCAGAAUGCUGCGGUGAAUGCGUUCCCGGGUCUUGUACACACCGCCCGUCACACCAUGGAAGUUGGGGGCGCCCGAAGCCGGUUAGCUAACCUUUAGGAAGCGG
RNAcentral lists this ribosomal RNA (789 nucleotides) under Paraclostridium sp. RNAcentral describes it as "bacterial SSU rRNA". It matches the Rfam family "Bacterial small subunit ribosomal RNA", at positions 665 to 1452 of the family's 1533-position model. The record is from RNAcentral. Lineage: Bacteria; Bacillati; Bacillota; Clostridia; Peptostreptococcales; Peptostreptococcaceae.